Molecule: ribosomal RNA, 460 nt
Filed under: uncultured bacterium
Lineage: Bacteria
Description: partial 16S ribosomal RNA
Rfam family: Bacterial small subunit ribosomal RNA
Source: RNAcentral
CCUACGGGAGGCAGCAGUGAGGAAUAUUGGACAAUGGGCGAGAGCCUGAACCAGCCAAGUAGCGUGAAGGAUGACUGCCCUACGGGUGGUAAACUUCUUUUAUAAAGGAAUAAAGUGAGGCACGUGUGCCUUAUGGAAUGUACUUUAUGAAUAAGGAUGGGCUAACUCUGUGCCAGCAGCCGCGGUAAUACGGAGGAUCCGAGCGUUAUCCGGAGUUAUUGGGUUUAAAGGUAGCGUAGAUGGGUUGUUAAGUCAGUUGUGAAAGUUUGCGGCUCAACAUUCAAAUUGCAAUUGAUACUGGCAGCCUUGAGUCCAUUAGAGGUAAGCGGAAUUCGUGGUGUAGCGGUGAAAUGCUUAGAUAUCACGAAGAACUCCGAUUGCGAAGGCAGCUUACUAAACUGCCACUGACAUUGAUGCUCGAAAGUGUGGGUAUCAAACAGGAUUAGAUACCCUUGUAGUC